RNAcentral lists this ribosomal RNA (446 nucleotides) under uncultured bacterium. Its description in RNAcentral is "bacterial SSU rRNA". It matches the Rfam family "Bacterial small subunit ribosomal RNA", at positions 355 to 825 of the family's 1533-position model. The record is from RNAcentral.
UCGGGAAUUUGGGCAAUGGGCGAAAGCCUGACCCAGCAACGCCGCGUGAAGGAUGAAGUAUUUCGGUAUGUAAACUUCGAAAGAAUAGGAAGAAUAAAUGACGGUACUAUUUAUAAGGUCCGGCUAACUACGUGCCAGCAGCCGCGGUAAUACGUAGGGACCAAGCGUUGUUCGGAUUUACUGGGCGUAAAGGGUGCGUAGGCGGCAUAUCAAGUCACUUGUGAAAUCUCCGGGCUUAACUCGGAACUGCCAAGUGAUACUGAUGUGCUAGAGUGCAGAAAGGGCAACUGGAAUUCUUGGUGUAGCGGUGAAAUGCGUAGAUAUCAAGAGGAACACCUGAGGCGAAGGCGAGUUGCUAGGCUGACACUGACGCUGAGGUACGAAAGCUAGGGGAGCGAACGGGAUUAGAUACCCCUGUAGUCCCUGAGCGGGCUGGCAAGGCGCAU